AAGACCGUACUUACUAGGAUCAUUUCUAUAGUACGCGUCCCGUCUUUGCAUCCCAACAAAGACAACACCAUCAACCGUGAUGACGAUGCGUAGCGUUCACCUCUGAGCGCGAAGCACGUCGCCGAUUUUGUCUUCACGGCAAUCGGUCGGCGACGAUUGAUGACCGUUCCCUUUACUCCAUUAGUGAGGACUGGGAGGAGGUGAUCGCAUUCAGAGCGGU
Pocillopora damicornis (cauliflower coral) is the source of this 220-nucleotide small nucleolar RNA. RefSeq annotates it as small nucleolar RNA U3. Lineage: Eukaryota; Metazoa; Cnidaria; Anthozoa; Scleractinia; Pocilloporidae. The record is from RefSeq and is a predicted model, not a curated record.